Ornithodoros turicata is the source of this 273-nucleotide long non-coding RNA. RefSeq lists it as uncharacterized. Lineage: Eukaryota; Metazoa; Arthropoda; Arachnida; Ixodida; Argasidae. The transcript is spliced from 3 exons. The record is from RefSeq and is a predicted model, not a curated record.
UUCACGGGAAGUGAAAGAAACAGUGGAUCACCGCCCACCGUAUGUCUGACGAGACGAAGAAGAAGAAGAGAAAGCUACGACAAGCACUCAGAAGAAGACGACCUAGCCGUGGCGGCAUCAACAUCAAUUGGCUAGAGCUGUGACCUGCCGGGGCUACACGUUGGUUCUGUGCCAAAAAGCCUACCUGAAUCAUGGCGGAAAGCGAGAUUUCGUCUAUGUCAUCUGUCGCAUCAGAAGGACAGUCAUCUAUUUCUACAGGACAGCAGGAGGGUA